Molecule: long non-coding RNA, 1647 nt
Organism: Mus caroli (Ryukyu mouse)
Lineage: Eukaryota; Metazoa; Chordata; Mammalia; Rodentia; Muridae
Source: RefSeq, a predicted model, not a curated record
UCAGACUCAGCAAGGGAGGAAGGUCUAGCUCCUGGUGCUUGGCCCCAGGGGCUAGUGAGUGUGCUUCUGUUUUCCUCAAGGAGGAAAGCUGGGCCAAGGGUGUGUCUCCAGUGACCACCCACCUAGUGAUAGUGCCUUUCUCACCAAGCAGGUGCAGUGUGAACUCUGAACUGACAGACUGACGGACUGACGGAGGAGCCUCUCUCCCAACUUGCUGGCAGAGCGAAUACUGGACAGAGGUGGCGAUAGCAGGUGGUGGGAAGACACUGAUGGUUGAGGCGUAGUCAGGCCAGGUCUGGCUUCACACAUGGACUCAUCUUUACCCAUAUCUGGGUAGCCCUUGAUACCUACAUAUGGACUGAAAUGUUGCGGUAGCUCCAUUUAACGUGAAGAAAUGUGGUAUGUGUGUGUGAGAGAGAAUUCUGUGUUCAUGGUGGUAUCCAGGACUGCCUCUUUCUACUACUCUAAUUUUGAAUCUUUCUAUGCAAGGGUUGGUUAUAAAAAUAAAGGGUGGGCCAGUGAGAUGAUUCUUUAAGUAAAUGCUUGCUGCUCAAUGGUAAGAAUCUCAUUUAGAGUCCCAGAAUCCAUGUAAAGCUGGGUUUGGGAGCAUGGGUCUGUCAUCCUAGUGCUGUUGUGCCGAAGUCAGAGGAAGGAGAAUCCCCAGAAGGUCAUGGGCCAGCUAUACUGCUAUGUGCAGUGCUAGCCAUUGAAGAGUCGCUGCCUUAAUCAAGAUAGAAAGGUGAGUUUGUUCUCUGACUCCUACACGCACGUACACCGUGACAUGUAUGUGUCCAAGCUCACUCACAAACACACUUAAGUCUGAAGAACAGUGAAGUCUUUCUGAUAUUCAUAUGACCCCUGGAAUUGAUGUUCACUUUGUGAGAAGUUUUCCAUCCAAGGGAGGAUGGUUUUAGAAACGCCAUGAUUCCAGCUGGAAAGAUCUUCAGUCAUAGUCAGAUUUUAAAGAUUUUUAAAUGAUGGUUCUUUGGUCCUAAUUGUAUUCAGUCCUUAAAGGCUAUCUCGGGGCAGCUGAUCAGAGGGGAUGUGGGAGAUCCAUUCGGGACAGCAUUUUUCUAGGAAUGCUAGAGGGUGAGAGCCUUCCUGAGAAAUUUCACAGUGGCAAUAAAUAAUCCUGUUAGCUGUAUUUCAAGGCAGCCAGUGAAAUCUUUUCUUCUGGGAACAUGAUCUCUACUCUGUAUUUGUCACUUUUACUGACCCAAGUGGCCCAAAAGGUCUGAUGUUGACAAUAUUUGCCAUUUCUACUCCUAGGUGGGUCUCCAGUGGUGUAGAGCGGCCUCUUACGGGGAAUGGUCAUGUGACCCAGAGAGAUGGGAUGUGUCCACGGCCAGAGAUCCAGGCUGUCCUGGUUUUUAAAUGUGUCUGUUUGAAGGGCCAACCUGUUGGGGACAGUGGCACCAUAGUUUUCAAGUCUGCCUUCUUCUCUUUUCAUAGAAACUGAGACUUCGAGAAGCAUGAACUGAGACGAAAUAUGCCAACAUUUUGGUGGCAAAAAGAAAUGCAAGGAAAAACCAACAACAACAAAAAACCCCCAAAACCCCAGCUCUCUUGAUGUGCCCUAAAAUUGUAACUUUUCUUUGGAGGCAAUUAUAAUUUUUAUGUCAGUUCUCAUUAAAAUAAUAGCAGGCA